CUGCUUCCCAAGUGUCAAAAUACUCUGUUACUGUUGCUGAAUUUGUCGAACCAGGACAUGCAGGCACGUGUCGACCUUCAGGUUCUUGCAAGAAACUCCUCAAUUCUAACUGGUUCACUUGGCUUAGACCUUGUCCUUGUGAAAUUCUUUUCAACUCCAACCCAUUAUCUUGAGCUAGUUGAUUUUGUUGCCUAUUCCCACAGAUUGAUGACAAACUUGGUUUUGCUGGAGUUGUUGGUAACCAUGAAUUGGCAAUCUGAAAAUCUUCUGUUUGUGGAAUUGAGCUUCCUUGUCUUCCGUCCAUGCCGCAGCGUCAGACUGGUAAAAAUCCAAAUUUUCUGCCUUUAUUUUCCUUUAUUUGGAUAAAAUGGUAGACAGUUUUUUUGCAGGGAUAACCUCAAAGUAGUCUCUCAUAGAAAGGAGAAAAAUAAAGAAAAAAAAGGCAGGACUUAUACAAGGUGUAAUAAUAACUGCUUCAGUCGGGGAACUGUUUUAUGAAAUCAUCUUGCAAAACAAAACCGUAAAAGACACAGAAAUCAAAAAUGAAUUUGUAGGAAGAGAAACAGAAUAUCUGAAACUUUCCAAAAACAUAAUUUUUAAGAAACCCUUAAUUGAACCGAAUAAAUUUUUUCAGCUCAGAUCUCAAAAAGACGAGCCUGUAUAUCUACUUAUCCUGCCAUGAUGGAGGCAGUGAAUGGAGGAUAAAAACAGAAUGUAAAUUCUGUAACUCACCAGAAAUUUCAUUUUCAUUAAUUUAAGAUAUAAAUGAAAAAUUAGGUGUAAUCAGUGAAAGAUUGUAGCAAUCUGACUGAAAAAACAAAAUUUGCAUAAAAUCUUUGAUCAUUUUACCAAGAAAUGCUGCUUAUUUCUGCAACUUUCUUAAGCAUCUAAAAAUUAGAGAAAAUUCACAUAUAAUUGGAUAUAAGUUGUUAAAAUUUGGGAGCUUAGUAAAUUUUUACUGACCUGAAGGGAUGAAGGUACUGCCGGAGAUCUCACAGAGGCAGUGGACGGCAAGGAGAAACUGAAACAGAGUAUUCCAUAAAGGGGAGAGAGAAAGUAGGAAAGAAG
Molecule: long non-coding RNA, 1068 nt
Filed under: Nicotiana tabacum (common tobacco)
Lineage: Eukaryota; Viridiplantae; Streptophyta; Magnoliopsida; Solanales; Solanaceae
Description: long non-coding RNA (NTAB_LNC001793)
Source: RNAcentral